AUUGAACGCUGGCGGCAGGCCUAACACAUGCAAGUCGAGCGGAUGAAGGGAGCUUGCUCCUGGAUUCAGCGGCGGACGGGUGAGUAAUGCCUAGGAAUCUGCCUGGUAGUGGGGGAUAACGUCCGGAAACGGGCGCUAAUACCGCAUACGUCCUGAGGGAGAAAGUGGGGGAUCUUCGGACCUCACGCUAUCAGACGAGCCUAGGUCGGAUUAGCUAGUUGGUGGGUAAAGGCCUACCAAGGCGACGAUCCGUAACUGGUCUGAGAGGAUGAUCAGUCACACUGGAACUGAGACACGGUCCAGACUCCUACGGGAGGCAGCAGUGGGGAAUAUUGGACAAUGGGCGAAAGCCUGAUCCAGCCAUGCCGCGUGUGUGAAGAAGGUCUUCGGAUUGUAAAGCACUUUAAGUUGGGAGGAAGGGCAGUAAGUUAAUACCUUGCUGUUUUGACGUUACCAACAGAAUAAGCACCGGCUAACUUCGUG
This 483-nucleotide ribosomal RNA is filed under the name uncultured bacterium. RNAcentral describes it as "partial 16S ribosomal RNA". It matches the Rfam family "Bacterial small subunit ribosomal RNA", at positions 30 to 507 of the family's 1533-position model. The record is from RNAcentral.